Long non-coding RNA from Camellia sinensis, 716 nucleotides. RefSeq lists it as uncharacterized. Lineage: Eukaryota; Viridiplantae; Streptophyta; Magnoliopsida; Ericales; Theaceae. The record is from RefSeq and is a predicted model, not a curated record.
UCUCACUGGUUCGUUGAAGAAGAAGAAAGGAAAAUCGAUCCAUUAGAGCAGAGAAGGGAAUGGAAACGAAGAAAAAAAACGAGGCAUUGGAACAUAAAAGGGAAGGGAAAGGAAGAGGAGCUGAAAAUGGAUUAUGUGAAUUGCUAUUGUGGCAAGAGAAGUCGAUUGAAUACAUCAUAGACCGACAACAACCCUAGGAGGAGGUUUCUCGGUCGUUCUAAUUAUGGGAGGUUUGGUGCAUGUGGUUACUUUUUAUGGAUUAAUCCCCUGAUGUGUACCCGUUGUCGCGAUGUCAUACUCGAGUUGCUUCAACGAAACAAAGUGCUGGAAGAUGAAGUACUAGUGUGUAGGGCAAGAGGAAGGUGGGUGAUUGCAUGUCUUGCUUUGUCCCGUUUGCUUUUUUCUUUGGUGGACUCUAGUUGUUAAUGGUAGCAAUGGAAAUGCGGAUGGAAGUGCUAAAAAUGGCAGUAUAUUGUAAAAGUGAAAAUAGAUGUAUAUAUGACAAUGAUUUUGAGGGAAUUGUAAUGGGGAAAUUGGGACAAAUGUAUGGUGGCAAUGAUAAUAGAAGCCUAGAAUGGACUUACCAUAGGUCGUGGAAAAUGUUUUAAUAUGGUUUGUAAUGUUUGUCUGAUAUAUGUAUUGUUCAACGUGGUCUGUAAUGUAAGUUUGAACCUUUUUUAUGAGAUGGUUUGUAAUGUAAGUUUGAACAUUUUUGA